This 765-nucleotide ribosomal RNA is filed under the name uncultured bacterium. RNAcentral describes it as "bacterial SSU rRNA". It matches the Rfam family "Bacterial small subunit ribosomal RNA", at positions 8 to 766 of the family's 1533-position model. The record is from RNAcentral.
AGAGUUUGAUCAUGGCUCAGAUUGAACGCUGGCGGAAUGCUUUACACAUGCAAGUCGAACGGCAGCACGGGUGCUUGCACCUGGUGGCGAGUGGCGAACGGGUGAGUAAUGCGUCGGAACGUACCGAGUAAUGGGGGAUAACGCAGCGAAAGUUGUGCUAAUACCGCAUACGCCCUGAGGGGGAAAGUGGGGGAUCGUAAGACCUCACGUUAUUCGAGCGGCCGACGUCUGAUUAGCUAGUUGGUGAGGUAAUGGCUCACCAAGGCGACGAUCAGUAGCGGGUCUGAGAGGAUGAUCCGCCACACUGGGACUGAGACACGGCCCAGACUCCUACGGGAGGCAGCAGUGGGGAAUUUUGGACAAUGGGGGCAACCCUGAUCCAGCCAUUCCGCGUGAGUGAAGAAGGCCUUCGGGUUGUAAAGCUCUUUCAGCAGAAACGAAACGGUACGCUCUAACAUAGUGUGCUAAUGACGGUACCUGCAGAAGAAGCACCGGCUAACUACGUGCCAGCAGCCGCGGUAAUACGUAGGGUGCGAGCGUUAAUCGGAAUUACUGGGCGUAAAGCGUGCGCAGGCGGAUUGUUAAGCAAGAUGUGAAAUCCCCGGGCUUAACCUGGGAAUGGCAUUUUGAACUGGCAGUCUAGAGUGUGUCAGAGGGGGGUGGAAUUCCACGUGUAGCAGUGAAAUGCGUAGAGAUGUGGAGGAACACCGAUGGCGAAGGCAGCCCCCUGGGAUAACACUGACGCUCAUGUACGAAAGCGUGGGU